This 253-nucleotide ribosomal RNA is filed under the name uncultured bacterium. RNAcentral describes it as "partial 16S ribosomal RNA". It matches the Rfam family "Bacterial small subunit ribosomal RNA", at positions 524 to 776 of the family's 1533-position model. The record is from RNAcentral.
UACGUAGGGUGCAAGCGUUGUCCGGAAUUAUUGGGCGUAAAGAGCUCGUAGGCGGUUUGUUGCGUCGGCUGUGAAAACCUGAGGCUCAACCUCAGGCCUGCAGUCGAUACGAGCAGACUAGAGUGUUGCAGGGGAGACUGGAAUUCCUGGUGUAGCGGUGAAAUGCGCAGAUAUCAGGAGGAACACCGGUGGCGAAGGCGGGUCUCUGGGCAAUUCCUGACGCUGAGGCGCGAAAGCGUGGGGAGCAAACGGG